GAUGAAGAACGUAGCGAAAUGCGAUACUUGGUGUGAAUUGCAGAAUCCCGUGAACCAUCGAGUCUUUGAACGCAAGUUGCGCCCGAAGCCAUUAGGCCGAGGGCACGCCUGCCUGGGCGUCACACGUCGUUGCCCCCCCCAUCUACUCCUUCGGGAUUGCGGGGGGCGGAUGAUGGCCUCCCGUGCGCCUCGCCGCGCGGUUGGCAUAAAUGCCAAGUCCUCGGCGACGCACGCCACGACAAUCGGUGGUUGCGAAACCUCGGUUGCCCGUCGUGUGCGGUCGUCGCGCAUCGAGGGCUCGAAAAAAUUGCCGAGUUCCGGCUCGGCUUUCAACGCGACCCCAUGUCAGGCGGGGUUACCCGCUGAAUUUAAGCAUAUCAAUAAGCGGAGGA
Molecule: unclassified non-coding RNA, 392 nt
Filed under: soil metagenome
Description: partial contains 5.8S ribosomal RNA, internal transcribed spacer 2, and large subunit ribosomal RNA
Rfam family: 5.8S ribosomal RNA (bases 1-122)
Source: RNAcentral